RNAcentral lists this ribosomal RNA (1243 nucleotides) under metagenome. Its description in RNAcentral is "bacterial LSU rRNA". It matches the Rfam family "Bacterial large subunit ribosomal RNA", at positions 1564 to 2815 of the family's 2925-position model. The record is from RNAcentral.
UGAAUACGAGAUGCUACGGCGUCGAAGCAGUGUAUGUCAGACUUCCAAGAAAAGCUCGCAAUGUCAUAAAUAAAGAAUGCCUGUACCAUAACCGACACAGGUGGGUAGGUAGAGUAUACUAAGGGGCGCGAGAUAACUCUCUCUAAGGAACUCGGCAAAAUAACUCCGUAACUUCGGGAGAAGGAGUGCCUUCUUUAAGAAGGUUGCAAUAACAAGAUCCAAGCAACUGUUUAUCAAAAACACAGGUCUCCGCUAAGUCGUAAGACGAUGUAUGGGGGCUGACGCCUGCCCAGUGCCAGAAGGUUAAAGAAGUUGGUUAGCUUUUGCGAAGCUGAUGACUGAAGCCCUGGUGAACGGCGGCCGUAACGAUAACGGUCCUAAGGUAGCGAAAUUCCUUGUCGGGUAAGUUCCGACCCGCACGAAAGGCGUAAUGAUUUGGAUACUGUCUCGGAGAGGGACUCGGUGAAAUAGACUUGUCUGUGAAGAUGCGGACUACCUGCACCAGGACAGAAAGACCCUAUGAAGCUUUACUGUAACUUGAAAUUGAAAUUGGACUUUAUUUGCGCAGUAUAGGUGGAAGGCGUUGAAAGUAAUCUUGCGGGAUUAGUGGAGCCAUCAGUGAGAUACCACUCCUAUAAUGUUAGAUUUCUAACUUUGGAUCAUGAUCUGGUCAAAGAACAGUUUCAGGCGGGCAGUUUGACUGGGGCGGUCGCCUCCCAAAUGGUAACGGAGGCGUACAAAGGUUUCCUCUGAACGGGUAGAAAUCGUAUCUAGAGUGUAAAGGCAUAAGGAAGCUUGACUGUGAGACCUACAAGUCGAGCAGGGACGAAAGUCGGUCUUAGUGAUCUGACGGUGCUGAGUGGAAAGGCCGUCACUCAACGGAUAAAAGUUACUCUAAGGAUAACAGGCUGAUCUCCCCCAAGAGUUCACAUCGACGGGGAGGUUUGGCACCUCGAUGUCGGCUCAUCGCAUCCUGGGGCGGUAGUACGUCCCAAGGGUUGGGCUGUUCGCCCAUGAAAGCGGUACGCGAGCUGGGUUCAGAACGUCGUGAGACAGUUCGGUCCAUAUCCGGUGUAGGCGUUAGAAUAUUGAGAGGAGCCUUCUUUAGUACGAGAGGACCGAGAAGGACAUACCUCUGGUGUACCAGUUAUCGUGCCAACGGUAAACGCUGGGUAGCUAUGUAUGGAGAGGAUAACCGCUGAAAGCAUCUAAGUGGGAAGCCCACCUCAAGAUGAGUAUUCGC